UACGUAGGCAGCAAGCGUUGUUCGGAAUUACUGGGCGUAAAGAGUGUGUAGGCGGUGCUCCCAGUCUGUUGUGAAAUCUCCCGGCUUAACUGGGAGGGUGCAGCGGAAACUAGAGUGCUAGAGGGUGGGAGAGGUAAGCGGAAUUCCUGGUGUAGCGGUGAAAUGCGUAGAUAUCAGGAGGAACACCUGUGGUGUAGACAGCUUACUGGACCACUUCUGACGCUGAGACACGAAAGCGUGGGGAGCAAACAGG
This 253-nucleotide ribosomal RNA is filed under the name uncultured bacterium. RNAcentral describes it as "partial 16S ribosomal RNA". It matches the Rfam family "Bacterial small subunit ribosomal RNA", at positions 524 to 776 of the family's 1533-position model. The record is from RNAcentral.